UAGUCCACGCUGUAAACGAUGAGUGCAAGGUGUUGGGGGCCAAACCUCGGUGCCGCCGUUAACACAGUAAGCACUCCGCCUGGGGAGUACGUACGCAAGUAUGAAACUCAAAGGAAUUGACGGGGACCCGCACAAGUAGCGGAGCAUGUGGUUUAAUUCGAUGCAACGCGAAGAACCUUACCAGGGCUUGACAUAAAAGUGACGAGGGAUAGAGAUAUGCCUUUUCUCUUCGGAGACAGUUUUAC
RNAcentral lists this ribosomal RNA (245 nucleotides) under uncultured bacterium. RNAcentral describes it as "partial 16S ribosomal RNA". It matches the Rfam family "Bacterial small subunit ribosomal RNA", at positions 791 to 1035 of the family's 1533-position model. The record is from RNAcentral.